GACAGAGGGUGCAAGCGUUGUUCGGAUUUACUGGGCGUAGAGCGCGUGUAGGCGGCUUGGCAAGUCGGAUGUGAAAGCCCACGGCUCAACCGUGGAAGCGCAUCCGAAACGGCCUCGCUCGAGUCUCGGAGAGGAAGGUGGAAUGCUUGGUGUAGAGGUGAAAUUCGUAGAUAUCAAGCAGAACACCUGCGGCGAAGGCGGCCUUCUGGACGAUGACUGACGCUGAGGCACGAAGGCCAGGGGAGCAAACGGG
Molecule: ribosomal RNA, 253 nt
Filed under: uncultured bacterium
Lineage: Bacteria
Description: partial 16S ribosomal RNA
Rfam family: Bacterial small subunit ribosomal RNA
Source: RNAcentral